RNAcentral lists this unclassified non-coding RNA (259 nucleotides) under Hevea brasiliensis (rubber tree). The record is from RNAcentral. Lineage: Eukaryota; Viridiplantae; Streptophyta; Magnoliopsida; Malpighiales; Euphorbiaceae.
GAGGAUCCUGUCGAGGAACCCGACAAAAUUGACAUCGGAACGAUCUUCGGAGACGACAAAUCCAAGAACUUCUCAAGCAGCAACGGAGAGGGAGAGGACUUUGAGGAAGAGAUAGACUUAGAUGACACCUUACACUUCCCAGCCGAAGAAAAGGAGAUCGAUAUAUCGAAACAUGUAAGGGACAUUGUGCAUGUAGAGAUUACGAUUAAUGCAAUAUGCGAUGCAAGCUGCAAAGGUUUGUGUCUCAAAUGCGGCACAA